UUUUCUCCUAAAAGUUUCAGCCAGCAUGACCACACACAUGCUAGUUAUUGAUACAGGAACUGCUCCAAUAUUCAUCGGUUGGUGGAUCAUAUGGCACCUUAAGGUUUAGGUGAACAUUUGGAGCGUUUGGGAACAUUUGUGUUAGGAAAUUGCGGUUCUUGGUUUUUCGACUUCUACAGUGCACAUGGUAUCUGGUGCGAGCACUAUCCACACACAAYGCAGAAAAAGAUGCCGAGAAGUGUAAAAUCAUAGAUGGCAUGAUUGCAAUAUUUCGGGUACUUGU
Cynara cardunculus var. scolymus (artichoke) is the source of this 283-nucleotide long non-coding RNA. RefSeq lists it as uncharacterized. NCBI's taxonomy places the organism in Eukaryota, Viridiplantae, Streptophyta, Magnoliopsida, Asterales, Asteraceae. The transcript has 3 exons. The record is from RefSeq and is a predicted model, not a curated record.